This 239-nucleotide long non-coding RNA is filed under the name Lathyrus oleraceus (garden pea). RNAcentral describes it as "Pisum sativum (pea) long non-coding RNA (PSAT_LNC025026)". The record is from RNAcentral. Lineage: Eukaryota; Viridiplantae; Streptophyta; Magnoliopsida; Fabales; Fabaceae.
CAAUUUUGAAUUCCCUGUAUUCGAGGCAGAGGAAGAUGAUGUUGAAGGGAUUCCUGAUGAAAUUACCCGCCUUCUUGAGUACAAAAAAGAAGAUCAUUCAGCUGUACCUUGAGAAUCAGCAAAAACAGUCAAACUGGGGCAUUACAAAUGUAAUAAAAAAAAGAGAGAGGGUGAAAAAUAAAAGAAUAAAAAAAAAUCAAAAAAAUCAAAAAGAAAAGAUAAAAGAAAAAGUAUACCCU